RNAcentral lists this ribosomal RNA (459 nucleotides) under uncultured bacterium. RNAcentral describes it as "partial 16S ribosomal RNA". It matches the Rfam family "Bacterial small subunit ribosomal RNA", at positions 338 to 795 of the family's 1533-position model. The record is from RNAcentral.
CCUACGGGUGGCAGCAGUGAGGAAUAUUGGUCAAUGGCCGGAAGGCUGAACCAGCCAAGCCGCGUGAAGGACGAAGGUGCCAAGCAUUGUAAACUUCUUUUGUCAAGGGACAAAAUCAGGCUCGAGAGCCUGACCGCGGGUACUUGAAGAAAAAGCAUCGGCAAACUCCGUGCCAGCAGCCGCGGUAAUACGGAGGAUGCGAGCGUUAGCCGGAUUUAUGGGGAUCAAAGGGUGCGUAGGGGGACUGUUAAGUCAGCGGUAAAAGCCCGGGGCGCAACCGCGGAUAGCCGUUGAAACUGGCUGUCUUGAGAAGUCGAGAGGUAUGCGGAAUGCGCAGUGUAGCGGUGAAAUGCUUAGAUAUUGCGAAGAACUCCGAUUGCGAAGGCAGCAUACCGGCGGCGAUCGGACGCUGAGGCACGAAAGCGUGGGUAUCGAACAGGAUUAGAUACCCGAGUAGUC